UGACUGCGUACCUUUUGUAUAAUGGGUCAGCGACUUAUAUUCUGUAGCAAGGUUAACCGAAUAGGGGAGCCGGAGGGAAACCGAGUCUUAACCGGGCGUUAAGUUGCAGGGUAUAGACCCGAAACCCGGUGAUCUAGCCAUGGGCAGGUUGAAGGUUGGGUAACACUAACUGGAGGACCGAACCGACUAAUGUUGAAAAAUUAGCGGAUGACCUGUGGCUGGGGGUGAAAGGCCAAUCAAACCGGGAGAUAGCUGGUUCUCCCCGAAAGCUAUUUAGGUAGCGCCUCGUGAAUUCAUCUCCGGGGGUAGAGCACUGUUUCGGCUAGGGGGCCAUCCCGGCUUACCAACCCGAUGCAAACUGCGAAUACCGGAGAAUGUUAUCACGGGAGACACACGGCGGGUGCUAACGUCCGUCGUGAAGAGGGAAACAACCCAGACCGCCAGCUAAGGUCCCAAAGUCAUGGUUAAGUGGGAAACGAUGUGGGAAGGCCCAGACAGCCAGGAUGUUGGCUUAGAAGCAGCCAUCAUUUAAAGAAAGCGUAAUAGCUCACUGGUCGAGUCGGCCUGCGCGGAAGAUGUAACGGGGCUAAACCAUGCACCGAAGCUGCGGCAGCGACGCUGAUGCGUUGUUGGGUAGGGGAGCGUUCUGUAAGCCUGCGAAGGUGGCCUGUGAGGGUUGCUGGAGGUAUCAGAAGUGCGAAUGCUGACAUAAGUAACGAUAAAGCGGGUGAAAAGCCCGCUCGCCGGAAGACCAAGGGUUCCUGUCCAACGUUAAUCGGGGCAGGGUGAGUCGACCCCUAAGGCGAGGCCGAAAGGCGUAGUCGAUGGGAAACGGGUUAAUAUUCCCGUACUUGGUGUUACUGCGAAGGGGGGACGGAGAAGGCUAUGUUGGCCGGGCGACGGUUGUCCCGGUUUAAGCGUGUAGGUGUGUGUUCCAGGUAAAUCCGGUUCACUUUAACACUGAGGCGUGAUGACGAGGCACUACGGUGCUGAAGCAACAAAUGCCCUGCUUCCAGGAAAAGCCUCUAAGCAUCAGGUAACAUCAAAUCGUACCCCAAACCGACACAGGUGGUCAGGUAGAGAAUACCAAGGCGCUUGAGAGAACUCGGGUGAAGGAACUAGGCAAAAUGGUGCCGUAACUUCGGGAGAAGGCACGCUGACACGUAGGUGAAGUGAUUUACUCAUGGAGCUGAAGUCAGUCGAAGAUACCAGCUGGCUGCAACUGUUUAUUAAAAACACAGCACUGUGCAAACACGAAAGUGGACGUAUACGGUGUGACGCCUGCCCGGUGCCGGAAGGUUAAUUGAUGGGGUCAGCGCAAGCGAAGCUCCUGAUCGAAGCCCCGGUAAACGGCGGCCGUAACUAUAACGGUCCUAAGGUAGCGAAAUUCCUUGUCGGGUAAGUUCCGACCUGCACGAAUGGCGUAAUGAUGGCCAGGCUGUCUCCACCCGAGACUCAGUGAAAUUGAACUCGCUGUGAAGAUGCAGUGUACCCGCGGCAAGACGGAAAGACCCCGUGAACCUUUACUAUAGCUUGACACUGAACAUUGAGCCUUGAUGUGUAGGAUAGGUGGGAGGCUUUGAAGUGUGGACGCCAGUCUGCAUGGAGCCGGCCUUGAAAUACCACCCUUUAAUGUUUGAUGUUCUAACGUGGACCCGUGAUCCGGGUUGCGGACAGUGUCUGGUGGGUAGUUUGACUGGGGCGGUCUCCUCCUAAAGAGUAACGGAGGAGCACGAAGGUUGGCUAAUCCUGGUCGGACAUCAGGAGGUUAGUGCAAUGGCAUAAGCCAGCUUGACUGCGAGCGUGACGGCGCGAGCAGGUGCGAAAGCAGGUCAUAGUGAUCCGGUGGUUCUGAAUGGAAGGGCCAUCGCUCAACGGAUAAAAGGUACUCCGGGGAUAACAGGCUGAUACCGCCCAAGAGUUCAUAUCGACGGCGGUGUUUGGCACCUCGAUGUCGGCUCAUCACAUCCUGGGGCUGAAGUAGGUCCCAAGGGUAUGGCUGUUCGCCAUUUAAAGUGGUACGCGAGCUGGGUUUAGAACGUCGUGAGACAGUUCGGUCCCUAUCUGCCGUGGGCGCUGGAGAACUGAGGGGGGCUGCUCCUAGUACGAGAGGACCGGAGUGGACGCAUCACUGGUGUUCGGGUUGUCAUGCCAAUGGCACUGCCCGGUAGCUAAAUGCGGAAGAGAUAAGUGCUGAAAGCAUCUAAGCACGAAACUUGCCCCGAGAUGAGUUCU
RNAcentral lists this ribosomal RNA (2235 nucleotides) under Salmonella enterica subsp. enterica serovar Urbana. RNAcentral's name for it is "bacterial LSU rRNA". It matches the Rfam family "Bacterial large subunit ribosomal RNA", at positions 594 to 2812 of the family's 2925-position model. The record is from RNAcentral. Lineage: Bacteria; Pseudomonadati; Pseudomonadota; Gammaproteobacteria; Enterobacterales; Enterobacteriaceae.